This 198-nucleotide ribosomal RNA is filed under the name uncultured bacterium. RNAcentral's name for it is "partial 16S ribosomal RNA". It matches the Rfam family "Bacterial small subunit ribosomal RNA", at positions 1294 to 1500 of the family's 1533-position model. The record is from RNAcentral.
CGGAUCGGAGUCUGCAACCCGACUCCGUGAAGCUGGAUUCGCUAGUAAUCGCGCAUCAGCCAUGGCGCGGUGAAUACGUUCCCGGGCCUUGUACACACCGCCCGUCAAGCCAUGGAAGCCGGGGGCGCUUGAAGUGCGUUGCCGCAAGGCGCGCCCUAGAGCGAAACCGGUGCUGGGGCUAAGUCGUAACAAGGUAGC